CGGGUGAGUAAUACAUCGGAACGUGUCUUCUAGUGGGGGAUAACUGCCCGAAAGGGCAGCUAAUACCGCAUGAGACCUGAGGGUGAAAGCGGGGGGAUCGCAAGACCUCGCGCUGGAAGAGCGGCCGAUGUCCGAUUAGCUAGUUGGUGAGGUAAAGGCUCACCAAGGCGACGAUCGGUAGCUGGUCUGAGAGGACGACCAGCCACACUGGGACUGAGACACGGCCCAG
Molecule: ribosomal RNA, 229 nt
Filed under: uncultured bacterium
Lineage: Bacteria
Description: partial 16S ribosomal RNA
Rfam family: Bacterial small subunit ribosomal RNA
Source: RNAcentral